AUUGAACGCUGGCGGCAUGCCUUACACAUGCAAGUCGAACGGUAACAGGUCUUCGGAUGCUGACGAGUGGCGAACGGGUGAGUAAUACAUCGGAACGUGCCCGAUCGUGGGGGAUAACUGCUCGAAAGAGCAGCUAAUACCGCAUACGAUCUACGGAUGAAAGCGGGGGAUCGCAAGACCUCGCGCGGACGGAGCGGCCGAUGGCAGAUUAGGUAGUUGGUGGGAUAAAAGCUUACCAAAGCCGACGAUCUGUAGCUGGUCUGAGAGGACGACCAGCCACACUGGGACUGAGACACGGCCCAGACUCCUACGGGAGGCAGCAGUGGGGAAUUUUGGACAAUGGGCGAAAGCCUGAUCCAGCCAUGCCGCGUGCAGGAUGAAGGCCUUCGGGUUGUAAACUGCUUUUGUACGGAACGAAAGACUCCUUCUAAUAAAGGGGUCCAUGACGGUACCGUAAGAAUAAGCACCGGCUAACUACGUGCCAGCAGCCGCGGUAAUAC
Molecule: ribosomal RNA, 500 nt
Filed under: uncultured bacterium
Lineage: Bacteria
Description: bacterial SSU rRNA
Rfam family: Bacterial small subunit ribosomal RNA
Source: RNAcentral